AAGAUGCCAAGAUGGGCACCCCCCCGAGGACAAAAGACUUAGUCCUAAACUUACCGUUAAUUCUUGCUCAACAUAUACAUGCAAGUAUCCGCAUCCCAGUGCAAACGCCCCAUGUGCGCCUUAUCAAGGUACCAGGAGCAGGCAUCAGGCACACCCCCCCCCGUAGCCCAAAACGCCCCGCCCCGCCACGCCCCCACGGGUACUCAGCAGUAAUUAACAUUAAGCAAUAGGCGUAAGCCUGACUUAGUUAGAGCAGCCAGGGUUGGUAAAUCUUGUGCCAGCCACCGCGGUCAUACAAGAGACCCAAAUUAACCGUACACGGCGUAAAGAGUGGCCCGCAGACUAUCAAAACAGAUUAAGAUCAAACCCUAACCCAAGCCGUCACAAGCCUCAAGAUUCCCUGAAGCCUAACCUAAAAAUGAUCUUAACACCAACGACCAAUUCCACACCACGAAAGCCAGGGUACAAACUGGGAUUAGAUACCCCACUAUGCCUAGCCCUAAAUCUUGAUGUUUUCCAAACAUAAACAUCCGCCCGAGAACUACGAGCACAAACGCUUAAAACUCUAAGGACUUGGCGGUGUUCCAAACCCACCUAGAGGAGCCUGUUCUAUAAUCGAUGACCCACGAUCCACCCGACCACUCCUUGCCAAAACAGCCUACAUACCGCCGUCCCCAGCCCACCUCCGUGAGAGCACAACAGUGGGCCCAACAGCCAUGCCCCGCUAACAAGACAGGUCAAGGUAUAGCCCAUGGAGCGGAAGAAAUGGGCUACAUUUUCUAAAAUAGAACAUUCAACGAAAAGAGGUAUGAAACCUACCUCUAGAAGGCGGAUUUAGCAGUAAAGUAGGAUAAUCAAGCCCCCUUUAAGCAGGUCCUGGAACACGUACAUACCGCCCGUCACCCUCCUCACAGGCGCCACAGUGCACUAACUAAUAUAACCCAGCCAG
RNAcentral lists this non-coding RNA (949 nucleotides) under Pyrilia barrabandi (Orange-cheeked parrot). RNAcentral describes it as "partial 12S ribosomal RNA". It matches the Rfam family "Bacterial small subunit ribosomal RNA", at positions 284 to 1445 of the family's 1533-position model. Lineage: Eukaryota; Metazoa; Chordata; Aves; Psittaciformes; Psittacidae. The record is from RNAcentral.